Molecule: long non-coding RNA, 1964 nt
Organism: Callithrix jacchus (white-tufted-ear marmoset)
Lineage: Eukaryota; Metazoa; Chordata; Mammalia; Primates; Cebidae
Source: RefSeq, a predicted model, not a curated record
AUAAAUGACACUGUAGACAUUUUUAUAUUUGUUAAAUUACAAAAGGCAGAUAUGGGGGAAGAAGAGGUGGAGACAAUAAAUGAACUCCUUUUACAUCCUCUUAUACAAUUUCCUGCUGGAAUGGUUUUGCCAGGGUAGAUGAGAAAGAUCUUUUAUUAACAGCACCUGAUGUGGGGAGGAGCAGAAAUCAGAGCCAAGCAAGUGAGCAGAGCAACCCCAGGACACUGAGAAGAGAUGCAGAUUUCUGACUUUCUCCUUAAGCAAGAGACUCACUGCUGCUCAGCAUGGCUCAGACCAAUACAUUCUUCAUGCUGAUCUCCUGCCUGAUGUUCCUGUCUCUGAGCCAAGGAUAGGAUGGCCAGACAGAGUUGCCCAAGUCCCGGGUCAGCUGCCCAGAAGGCAACAAUGCCUAUGGCUCCUACUGCUACUACUUUAAUGAAGACCUUGAGACCUGGGUUGAUGCAGAUGUGGCUCUACUGCCAGAAUACGAAUUCGGGUAACCUGGUGUCUGCGCUCACUGAGGCUGAGGGUGCCUUCGUGGCUUCGCUGAUUAAAGAGGGUGGCACCAAGGAUUGCAAUGUCUGGAUUGGCUUCCAUGACUCCCACUGGGCCAGUCUGCUGCAUCUUCUACCUCCUUAUUAUCAGGUUUCAGAGGGAAGAAGGAGGUGUGAUGUCUGGCACCGCAAACACCAGUUUUUACCAUACUAUGAUAAAAGCAACCUCUCUAUAAAUCCUAUAAUGUACAGGAUAUUAAGUUUCUCUAUAGGUCCUUAGAGAUAAGCUUAAAACUGAAUAUCCUCUGUGUUUCAGACAUUCACAGUAAACUCAUUUUGUCUACUUCUAGGGUAGCAUCUUUAUAUAUCUGUUAUGCACCUCUUAUCUAUUGUGUUAUCAUCUUGUAAACCAUAUAGAGAAAGGUAAUAGAGGAGGAGAAUGUGCUGCUUGUAUUUGGGAAACUCAAGGUAUACUAAAUAAUAUAUCAACAACUAAUGGCCAUCCAAUGCUAUGCUGGAUAUGAACUUUCGGGGCCUCAGGAAAGAAAAAUCAGGAACCAGUUUCAAUAAUGAUGUUUUAUGGUUCUCUGUGUCAUAUUUAGAACACUUACUGUUUGGCAGGACACAGAGAGGUAGGUGAAGAUUCCAGGAAAGGAGAAGCUUAGAGAAAAUGUGGAGGAAAUGUGUGACACUCAGAGAUAAAGCAAGGUUUAUCCUUGCCUUAUGUCUUGACCGGUUUCUGAAUCAAGAAACACAAGUCAAACACAAAUCAGGUGUUUCUUUCUCUUUCUGAGUCUCGUCCGCCCCUGCCCUGGCCCUUCUCCAUCUAGAACCACCACUGGCACUGGAGCAGUGGGUCCCUGGUCUCCUACAAAUCCUGGGACACUGGAGCCCCAAGCUGUGCCAGUAUUGCCUGUUGUGCAAGCCUGACUUCAAGCUCAGGUGAGAGGUACAGCAACCUCACACUUACUGCCAUCCUAUCCUAUUUGUCUCAGGAUUGACCUGGGGACUGCAAUAGAGGAAAGGUGAGCUCCGCAUUCAGGAAAUAGAGGAGCGUUUCCUCUUGACUUUUCCUGAGUUCUGCAGCCUAGAGGGUAACACAUUCUGAUCCCCUCAGUUUGAAUCUUCUCAUUGGCUUAUAGGAUUCAAUAAAUGGAAGAAUGAUUCUUGUAAGGAGACGUUCUCCUUUGUUUGCAAGUUCAAAAACUAGAGGUGGCUGCAAAGUGGAUGUCUAGAGUAUGUCUACUAAUUACUAUGGAGUAAAAGAAUUAAACUGGACCAUCUCAUCUCUCUCCAAAUCAAUCCAGACCAUCUCUUCUCUUCUGAAUUUGCAUCACUGACCUGUAGUAUCUUUACCUACCCCAGUUGCGGGGGUCCUAAAGAAUAAAAAUAAACAUGUUUCCCCCAUGUCUGUGUCUGCUAUUUCCCCACCUAAUGCCUGGGGUGGUGUUGCCUACUUGUUAGAUGCCC